GACGAACGCUGGCGGCGUGCCUAAUACAUGCAAGUUGAGCGCUGAAGGUUGGUACUUGUACCAACUGGAUGAGCAGCGAACGGGUGAGUAACGCGUGGGGAAUCUGCCUUUGAGCGGGGGACAACAUUUGGAAACGAAUGCUAAUACCGCAUAAAAACUUUAAACACAAGUUUUAAGUUUGAAAGAUGCAAUUGCAUCACUCAAAGAUGAUCCCGCGUUGUAUUAGCUAGUUGGUGAGGUAAAGGCCCACCAAGGCGAUGAUACAUAGCCGACCUGAGAGGGUGAUCGGCCACAUUGGGACUGGGACACGGCCCAAACUCCUGCGGGAGGCAGCAGUAGGGAAUCUUCGGCAAUGGACGGAAGUCUGACCGAGCAACGCCGCGUGAGUGAAGAAGGUUUUCGGAUCGUGAAACUCUGUUGGUAGAGAAGAACGUUGGUGAGAGUGGAAAGCUCAUCAAGUGACGGUAACUACACAGAAAGGGACGGCUAACUACGUG
Molecule: ribosomal RNA, 497 nt
Filed under: uncultured bacterium
Lineage: Bacteria
Description: partial 16S ribosomal RNA
Rfam family: Bacterial small subunit ribosomal RNA
Source: RNAcentral